GCUCCUUGAAAUCAGCUGUUCUCUGAUCAGGCGGAACAUUUCCAUGAAAACUCAAAGCCGCUUUUUAACAGUAGAUCGCACCUCAAACAAGGAUUUGUGAGCACUAACCUGUCGAGGAAAAUGUCAGGCAGUGGCGGGUAGGUGCGCAUGUCAGGCACCCUUUCGUGGACUAUGACCAUGACGAAGGACGUGAACCCGAA
Xiphophorus hellerii (green swordtail) is the source of this 200-nucleotide long non-coding RNA. RefSeq lists it as uncharacterized. NCBI's taxonomy places the organism in Eukaryota, Metazoa, Chordata, Actinopteri, Cyprinodontiformes, Poeciliidae. The transcript is spliced from 2 exons. The record is from RefSeq and is a predicted model, not a curated record.